Molecule: ribosomal RNA, 736 nt
Filed under: bacterium PL8
Lineage: Bacteria
Description: bacterial SSU rRNA
Rfam family: Bacterial small subunit ribosomal RNA
Source: RNAcentral
UGGCGGGCAAUGCCUACCCAUGCAAGUCGAGGCGGCCCUAAGGGUACUCUGUCACCAUGGUGGUCGAGCGGCGGACGGGUGAGUAAUGCCUAGGAAUCUGCCUAGUAGUGGGGGAUAACGUCCGGAAACGGGCGCUAAUACCGCAUACUCCUACGGGAGAAAGUGGGGGAUCUUCGGACCUCACGCUAUUAGAUGAGCCUAGGUCGGAUUAGCUAGUUGGUGAGGUAAUGGCUCACCAAGGCGACGAUCCGUAACUGGUCUGAGAGGAUGAUCAGUCACACUGGAACUGAGACACGGUCCAGACUCCUACGGGAGGCAGCAGUGGGGAAUAUUGGACAAUGGGCGAAAGCCUGAUCCAGCCAUGCCGCGUGUGUGAAGAAGGUCUUCGGAUUGUAAAGCACUUUAAGUUGGGAGGAAGGGCAGUUACCUAAUACGUGAUUGUUUUGACGUUACCGACAGAAUAAGCACCGGCUAACUCUGUGCCAGCAGCCGCGGUAAUACAGAGGGUGCAAGCGUUAAUCGGAAUUACUGGGCGUAAAGCGCGCGUAGGUGGUUUGUUAAGUUGGAUGUGAAAGCCCCGGGCUCAACCUGGGAACUGCAUCCAAAACUGGUAAGCUAGAGUAUGGUAGAGGGUGGUGGAAUUUCCUGUGUACCGUGAAAUGCGUAAAUAUGGGAGGAACACCAGGGACAAAGGCGACCCCUGGACUUUUCUGACACUGAGGUGCGAAACGGGGGG